RNAcentral lists this long non-coding RNA (210 nucleotides) under Chinchilla lanigera (long-tailed chinchilla). RNAcentral's name for it is "lncRNA (ENSCLAG00000023363.1)". The record is from RNAcentral. Lineage: Eukaryota; Metazoa; Chordata; Mammalia; Rodentia; Chinchillidae.
AUGGAAAACUAUCUUUUAGAAUAUUUCUUUUGUUUUCAUAAUCUUCUACUGUAUGCAUACAAUGGCUUUUAUAUAUCCCCUCCUCAGCCCUGGUUAAAGAUAUAUUGCAACACUGAAAAAUCCAUCAUCAGGCUGUUCCUCAUUAUGCCAAGUGAUAUGGAAUCAACCAAGCUAUUGUCUUGUCUACAUAGCACCAAGUUGUUCAUAUAA